RNAcentral lists this non-coding RNA (182 nucleotides) under Sporomusa sphaeroides. The record is from RNAcentral. Lineage: Bacteria; Bacillati; Bacillota; Negativicutes; Selenomonadales; Sporomusaceae. RNAcentral also lists the same sequence under 1 other name.
UUAAUAAGUAGUGAGUUAGGUGCCUGUAAGGGCUUAAUAGGGAAGACCGGUUAAAUACCGGCGCGGUCCCGCCACUGUAACGGGGAGCAAGCUUAAGAUAUGCCACUGAGACAAUCGUCUUGGGAAGGUUUAAGCAAGCCAUGAACCGGAGCCAGGAGAACUGCCUAGCUGGACAAUCACCG